Molecule: non-coding RNA, 73 nt
Organism: Podarcis lilfordi (Lilford's wall lizard)
Lineage: Eukaryota; Metazoa; Chordata; Lepidosauria; Squamata; Lacertidae
Source: the annotation of a GenBank genome assembly
GCCUGGGAUAGCUUAGUCGGCAGAGCACAAGAUUCUUAAUUGAGGGUCGUGGGUUCAAGCUCCAAGCUAGGCA